RNAcentral lists this unclassified non-coding RNA (400 nucleotides) under uncultured fungus. RNAcentral's name for it is "sequence contains ITS1". Lineage: Eukaryota; Fungi. The record is from RNAcentral.
AACCGUCAAUUCCUUUAAGUUUCACCGUUGCCGGCGUACUCCCCAGGUGGAAUACUUAACGCUUUCGCUUGGCCGCUUGCUGUAUAUCGCAAACAGCGAGUAUUCAUCGUUUACCGUGUGGACUACCAGGGUAUCUAAUCCUGUUUGAUACCCACACUUUCGAGCAUCAAUGUCAGUGGCAGUUUAGUAGGCUGCCUUCGCAAUCGGAGUUCUUCGUGAUAUCUAAGCAUUUCACCGCUACACCACGAAUUCCGCCUACCUCAACUGUACUCAAGGCUGCCAGUAUCAAUUGCAAUUUUACGGUUGAGCCGCAAACUUUCACAACUGGCUUAACAACCCAUCUACGCUCCCUUUAAACCCAAUAAAUCCGGAUAACGCUCGGAUCCUCCGUAUUACCGCG